RNAcentral lists this ribosomal RNA (253 nucleotides) under uncultured bacterium. RNAcentral's name for it is "partial 16S ribosomal RNA". It matches the Rfam family "Bacterial small subunit ribosomal RNA", at positions 524 to 776 of the family's 1533-position model. The record is from RNAcentral.
UACGAAGGGGGCUAGCGUUGCUCGGAAUCACUGGGCGUAAAGCGCACGUAGGCGGAUUGCUAAGUCAGGGGUGAAAUCCUGGAGCUCAACUCCAGAACUGCCUUUAAGACUGCAUCGCUUGAAUCCAGGAGAGGUGAGUGGAAUUCCGAGUGUAGAGGUGAAAUUCGUAGAUAUUCGGAAGAACACCAGUGGCGAAGGCGGCUCACUGGACUGGUAUUGACGCUGAGGUGCGAAAGCGUGGGGAGCAAACAGG